RNAcentral lists this ribosomal RNA (438 nucleotides) under uncultured bacterium. RNAcentral describes it as "partial 16S ribosomal RNA". It matches the Rfam family "Bacterial small subunit ribosomal RNA", at positions 341 to 792 of the family's 1533-position model. The record is from RNAcentral.
ACGGGAGGCAGCAGUGGGGAAUAUUGGGCAAUGGGCGAAAGCCUUACCCAGCAAUGCCGCGUGAGUGAAGAAGGUCUUCGGAUUGUAAAGCUCUUUGAUUGGGGACGAAACAAAUGACGGUACCCAAAGAACAAGCCCCGGCUAACUACGUGCCAGCAGCCGCGGUAAUACGUAGGGGGCAAGCGUUGUUCGGAAUGACUGGGCGUAAAGGGUGUGUAGGCGGUUGAUUAAGUUGGAAGUGUAAUACCCAGGGCUUAACCCGGGUGCUGCUUCCAAGACUGGUUGACUUGAGUGCAGGAGAGGAAAGCGGAAUCCCUAGUGUAGCGGUGGAAUGCGUAGAUAUUAGGAGGAACACCAGAGGCGAAAGCGGCUUCCUGGGCUUUAACUGACGCUGAGGCUCGAAAGCGUGGGGAGCAAACAGGAUUAGAUACCCUGGUA